UACAUGCAAGUCGAGCGCGGGAAGUCAGGGAAGCCUUCGGGUGGAACUGGUGGAACGAGCGGCGGAUGGGUGAGUAACACGUAGGUAACCUGCCCUAAAGCGGGGGAUACCAUCUGGAAACAGGUGCUAAUACCGCAUAACCCCAGCAGUCACAUGAGUGCUGGUUGAAAGACGGCUUCGGCUGUCACUUUAGGAUGGACCUGCGGCGUAUUAGCUAGUUGGUGGAGUAACGGUUCACCAAGGCAAUGAUACGUAGCCGACCUGAGAGGGUAAUCGGCCACAUUGGGACUGAGACACGGCCCAAACUCCUACGGGAGGCAGCAGUAGGGAAUCUUCCACAAUGGACGCAAGUCUGAUGGAGCAACGCCGCGUGGAUGAAGAAGGUCUUCGGAUCGUAAAAUCCUGUUGUUGAAGAAGAACGGUUGUGAGAGUAACUGCUCAUAACGUGACGGUAAUCAACCAGAAAGUCACGGCUAACUACGUGCCAGCAGCCGCGGUAAUACGUAGGUGGCAAGCGUUGUCCGGAUUUAUUGGGCGUAAAGGGAGCGCAGGCGGUCUUUUAAGUCUGAAUGUGAAAGCCCUCAGCUUAACUGAGGAAGCGCAUCGGAAACUGAAAGACUUGAGUGCAGAAGAGGAGAGUGGAACUCCAUGUGUAGCGGUGAAAUGCGUAGAUAUAUGGAAGAACACCAGUGGCGAAGGCGGCUCUCUGGUCUGUUACUGACGCUGAGGCUCGAAAGCAUGGGUAGCGAACAGGAUUAGAUACCCUGGUAGUCCAUGCCGUAAACGAUGAGUGCUAAGUGUUGGGAGGUUUCCGCCUCUCAGUGCUGCAGCUAACGCAUUAAGC
RNAcentral lists this ribosomal RNA (844 nucleotides) under Lactobacillus sp. F7. RNAcentral's name for it is "bacterial SSU rRNA". It matches the Rfam family "Bacterial small subunit ribosomal RNA", at positions 52 to 865 of the family's 1533-position model. The record is from RNAcentral. Lineage: Bacteria; Bacillati; Bacillota; Bacilli; Lactobacillales; Lactobacillaceae.